UUAGGUUGGUGCAAAAGUAAUUGCAGUUUUUGUCGUUACUUUUAAUUGCAAAAACUGCACUUACUUUUGCACCAACCUAAUAAUUUA
RNAcentral lists this microRNA precursor (87 nucleotides) under Gorilla gorilla gorilla (western lowland gorilla). RNAcentral describes it as "miRNA (ENSGGOG00000037509.1)". The record is from RNAcentral. Lineage: Eukaryota; Metazoa; Chordata; Mammalia; Primates; Hominidae.